CUAAGCCAUGCGAGUCAUUGUAGCAAUACAAGGCAGACGGCUCAGUAACGCGUAGUCAACCUAACCUAUGGACGGGAAUAACCUCGGGAAACUGAGAAUAAUGCCCGAUAGAACACUAUACCUGGAAUGGUUUGUGUUCCAAAUGAUUUAUCGCCGUAGGAUGGGACUGCGGCCUAUCAGUUUGUUGGUGAGGUAAUGGCCCACCAAGACUAUUACAGGUACGGGCUCUGAGAGGAGUAGCCCGGAGAUGGGUACUGAGACACGGACCCAGGCCCUAUGGGGCGCAGCAGGCGAGAAAACUUUGCAAUGUGCGAAAGCACGACAAGGUUAAUCCGAGUGAUUUGUGCUAAACGAAUCUUUUGUUAGUCCUAGAACCACUAACGAAUAAGGGGUGGGCAAGUUCUGGUGUCAGCCGCCGCGGUAAAACCAGCACCUCAAGUGGUCAGGAUGAUUAUGGGGCCUAAAGCAUCCGUAGCCGGCUCUGUAAGUUUUCGGUUAAAUCUGUACGCUUAACGUACAGGCUGCCGGGAAUACUGCAGAGCUAGGGAGUGGGAGAGGUAGACGGUACUCGGUAGGAAGGGGUAAAAUCCUUUGAUCUAUUGAUGACCACCUGUGGCGAAGGCGGUCUACCAGAACACGUCCGACGGUGAGGGAUGAAAGCUGGGGGAGCAAACCGGAUUAGAUACCCGGGUAGUCCCAGCUGUAAACUAUGCAAACUCAGUGAUGCAUUGACUUGUGGUCAAUGCAGUGCUGCAGGGAAGCCGUUAAGUUUGCCGCCUGGGAAGUACGUACGCAAGUAUGAAACUUAAAGGAAUUGGCGGGGGAGCACCACAAGGGGUGAAGCCUGCGGUUCAAUGGGAGUCAACGCCGGAAAUCACU
RNAcentral lists this ribosomal RNA (879 nucleotides) under uncultured crenarchaeote. RNAcentral describes it as "bacterial SSU rRNA". It matches the Rfam family "Archaeal small subunit ribosomal RNA", at positions 44 to 929 of the family's 1478-position model. Lineage: Archaea; Thermoproteati; Thermoproteota. The record is from RNAcentral.